CAACAUGACUCUCGGCAACGGAUAUCUCGGCUCUCGCAUCGAUGAAGAACGUAGCAAAAUGCGAUACCUGGUGUGAAUUGCAGAAUCCCGUGAACCAUCGAGUUUUUGAACGCAAGUUGCGCCCGAAGCCUUCUGGCUGAGGGCACGUCUGCCUGGGCGUCACG
RNAcentral lists this ribosomal RNA (164 nucleotides) under Muhlenbergia ligulata. Its description in RNAcentral is "5.8S ribosomal RNA". It matches the Rfam family "5.8S ribosomal RNA". Rfam says of the family: 5.8S ribosomal RNA (5.8S rRNA) is a component of the large subunit of the eukaryotic ribosome. Lineage: Eukaryota; Viridiplantae; Streptophyta; Magnoliopsida; Poales; Poaceae. The record is from RNAcentral.